GCACUGCUGAAGAGUCUCAUAGUAGGACGAAACGGCCGUCCGGUGC
This 46-nucleotide non-coding RNA is filed under the name Schistosoma mattheei. Lineage: Eukaryota; Metazoa; Platyhelminthes; Trematoda; Strigeidida; Schistosomatidae. The record is from RNAcentral.